Molecule: RNase P RNA, 203 nt
Filed under: Dehalococcoidia bacterium
Lineage: Bacteria; Bacillati; Chloroflexota; Dehalococcoidia
Description: partial RNase P RNA component class A
Rfam family: Bacterial RNase P class A
About the family: Ribonuclease P (RNase P) is a ubiquitous endoribonuclease, found in archaea, bacteria and eukarya as well as chloroplasts and mitochondria.
Source: RNAcentral
CAAGGAGGCUGGGCGACCGCUGUUCCUUCGCAAGAUGGAAGAGAGGAAAGUCCGAGCUCCUCAGGGCUGGAUGCCCGCUAACGGCGGGGCGAGGCAACGCGACGGACAGUGCCACAGAAACAUACCGCCCGGACUACGGUCUGGGUAAGGGUGAAAAGGUGCGGUAAGAGCGCACCGCUCCGGUGGCAACAUCGGAGGACAAG